Molecule: ribosomal RNA, 432 nt
Filed under: uncultured bacterium
Lineage: Bacteria
Description: partial 16S ribosomal RNA
Rfam family: Bacterial small subunit ribosomal RNA
Source: RNAcentral
ACGCACGCUGGCGGCAUGCCUCACCCAUGCCAGUCGCACGAGACCUUCGGGUCUAGUGGCGCACGGGUGCGUAACGCGUGGGAACCUGCCCUUAGGUUCGGAAUAACUCCCCGAAAGGGGUGCUAAUACCGGAUAAUGUCUUCGGACCAAAGAUUUAUCGCCUUUGGAUGGGCCCGCGUUGGAUUAGCUAGUUGGUAGGGUAAAAGCCUACCAAGGCGACGAUCCAUAGCUGGUCUGAGAGGAUGAUCAGCCACACUGGGACUGAGACACGGCCCAGACUCCUACGGGAGGCAGCAGUGGGGAAUAUUGGACAAUGGGCGAAAGCCUGAUCCAGCAAUGCCGCGUGAGUGAUGAAGGCCUUAGGGUUGUAAAGCUCUUUUACCCGGGAUGAUAAUGACAGUACCGGGAGAAUAAGCUCCGGCUAACUCCGUG